Molecule: ribosomal RNA, 484 nt
Filed under: uncultured bacterium
Lineage: Bacteria
Description: partial 16S ribosomal RNA
Rfam family: Bacterial small subunit ribosomal RNA
Source: RNAcentral
GACGAACGCUGGCGGCGUGCUUAACACAUGCAAGUCGAACGAUGAACCCGGAGCUUGCUCCGGCGGAUUAGUGGCGAACGGGUGAGUAACACGUGAGUAACCUGCCCUUGACUCUGGGAUAACUGCUAGAAAUGGUAGCUAAUACCGGAUACGACCCUCGGCGGCAUCGCCAGGGGGUGGAAAGAAUUUCGGUCAGGGAUGGACUCGCGGCCUAUCAGCUAGUUGGUGAGGUAACGGCUCACCAAGGCGACGACGGGUAGCCGGCCUGAGAGGGUGACCGGCCACACUGGGACUGAGACACGGCCCAGACUCCUACGGGAGGCAGCAGUGGGGAAUAUUGCACAAUGGGCGCAAGCCUGAUGCAGCAACGCCGCGUGAGGGAUGACGGCCUUCGGGUUGUAAACCUCUUUUAGUAGGGAAGAAGCGAAAGUGACGGUACCUGCAGAGAAAGCACCGGCUAACUACGUGCCAGCCGCCGCAGUAA